CUCACCAGGUCAGGACACGGUAAGGAUUGACGGACUGAAGGCUCUUUCUCGAUUCCGUGGAAAGUGGUGCAUGGCCGUUUUUGGUUGGUGGAUCGAUCCGUCUGGUUAAUUCCGUUAACGAACGAGACCUCGGCACUCCGAAUAGCGCGGCGGACGUCGCGGCCUCCGGGCCGUCUUCCGCACGAGCUUCUUAGAGGGACCGUCCCCCGCCGGGGAAGGAGGUGCGAGGCAACGACAGGUCUGUGAUGCCCUUAGAUGUUCUGGGCCGCACGCGCAUUACACUGACGCGUCCAACGGGUGACUCCCGACCCGAAGGGGCCGGGGAAUCCGCAAGGCGCGUCGUGAUGGGGAUUGAACGUUGCAAUUGUUGUUCACGAACGAGGAAUUCCUAGUAGGCGCGGGUCAUCAACCCGCGCCGAUUACGUCCCUGCCCUUUGUAC
RNAcentral lists this ribosomal RNA (440 nucleotides) under uncultured eukaryote. RNAcentral describes it as "bacterial SSU rRNA". It matches the Rfam family "Eukaryotic small subunit ribosomal RNA", at positions 1214 to 1665 of the family's 1831-position model. The record is from RNAcentral.